RNAcentral lists this unclassified non-coding RNA (516 nucleotides) under Hevea brasiliensis (rubber tree). Lineage: Eukaryota; Viridiplantae; Streptophyta; Magnoliopsida; Malpighiales; Euphorbiaceae. The record is from RNAcentral.
AGAAAAGCCAAUACACAGCUCAGUUCAACUCAUUCUUAAUGCAUUCUAUAAACUAGUGAAAUUAAUACUUUUCCUGGAUUGCAAAGAUUUAAGCAGUUCAAAAAUAGCAGUUCCAGAGAAAUACACAUUGAAAUAGGCCACAUCAUAAAAGCUCAAAAAUUCAAGCCACAACUAUGAAAACAUUAUCAAAUGCUUGGUUAUUUAUGAACCCCGCAAAAUCAUGUGCUAGCUGCAGCUUCCUUUUUCUCUUCUGAGGACCCAACUCCACCUUUGAUUUCAGCCUCCGGUUUCGCAGAUUCAGCCAUGUCACUUUUUUCGGGCUUUGACACCUCUUGUUCAUCAUCAUCACUCUCGUCGGAGUCAUUAUCAUCUCCCAUAUCUCCCAUGUCUCCCAUGUCCAUGUCACCCAUGCCACCCAUACCGCCAAAUUUCGAAAAGUCCAUGCCUCCCAAAUCCAAGUCACCUAGACCAGCAGUUCCAUUAUCUUCGUCCUCAUCCACCCAUUUGUCCCAAUCU